GACGAACGCUGGCGGCGUGCUUAACACAUGCAAGUCGAACGGAAAGGCCCUGCUUUUGUGGGGUGCUCGAGUGGCGAACGGGUGAGUAACACGCGAGUAACCUGCCCUUGUCUUUGGGAUAACUUCAGGAAACUGGGGCUAAUACCGGAUAGGAGCUCCUGCUGCAUGGUGGGGGUUGGAAAGUUUCGGCGGUUGGGGAUGGACUCGCAGCUUAUCAGCUUGUUGGUGGGGUAGUGGCUUACCAAGGCUUUGACGGGUAGCCGGCCUGAGAGGGUGACCGGCCACAUGGGGACUGAGAUACGGCCCAGAAGCCUACGGGAGGCAGCAGGGGGGAAUAUUGCGCAAUGGGCGGAAGCCUGAUGCAGCAACGCCGCGUGCGUGAUGACGGCCUUCGAGUUGUAAACCGCUUUCGCCUGUGACGAAGCGGGAGUGACGGUAAUGGGUAAGGAAGCAACGGCUAACUACGUG
Molecule: ribosomal RNA, 468 nt
Filed under: uncultured bacterium
Lineage: Bacteria
Description: partial 16S ribosomal RNA
Rfam family: Bacterial small subunit ribosomal RNA
Source: RNAcentral